AAUUGUUUAACCUAAUUAAAGGUCCUUGUUUUGAAAACAAGCCAUAAGAGUUAAAAUCUCUUAACAAUUU
RNAcentral lists this transfer RNA (70 nucleotides) under Moina macrocopa. RNAcentral describes it as "tRNA-Ser". It matches the Rfam family "tRNA". Rfam says of the family: Transfer RNA (tRNA) molecules are approximately 80 nucleotides in length. Their secondary structure includes four short double-helical elements and three loops (D, anti-codon, and T loops). Lineage: Eukaryota; Metazoa; Arthropoda; Branchiopoda; Diplostraca; Moinidae. The record is from RNAcentral.